UAGGAUUUGGUUUAGGGUUUGAUUUUGGAUUUAGGAUUUUUUUAGGAUAUGGUUUAGAGUUUAGGAUUUGUCUAGGAUUUGAUUUAGGGUUUGAUUUAGGAUCUAAGAUUUCAUCUAAGAUUUGAAUUAGGAUUUAAGGUUUGUCUAAGGUUUUAUUUAAGAUUUGGUUUAGGAUUUAGUAUUUGUCUAGGAUUUGAUUGAAUUCCAUUAGGGUUUUAACUA
RNAcentral lists this long non-coding RNA (222 nucleotides) under Physcomitrium patens. Its description in RNAcentral is "long non-coding RNA (PPAT_LNC010668)". The record is from RNAcentral. Lineage: Eukaryota; Viridiplantae; Streptophyta; Bryopsida; Funariales; Funariaceae.